GGAUAUGUAACUCAGUUGGUAGAGUGUUUGCCUUGCCCUGAGUUCAAUCCCCAGCAUGGCCA
This 62-nucleotide transfer RNA is filed under the name Ictidomys tridecemlineatus (thirteen-lined ground squirrel). Its description in RNAcentral is "Spermophilus tridecemlineatus (thirteen-lined ground squirrel) tRNA". It matches the Rfam family "tRNA". From Rfam's summary of the family: Transfer RNA (tRNA) molecules are approximately 80 nucleotides in length. Their secondary structure includes four short double-helical elements and three loops (D, anti-codon, and T loops). The record is from Rfam by way of RNAcentral. Lineage: Eukaryota; Metazoa; Chordata; Mammalia; Rodentia; Sciuridae.